AACAACAUCUCCAAAGCUUCAACAGUAUACCCAAAAGCUUUCAGAGGUGCUAGUAAACCAUGAAUGCCCACGUUCUCCAUGUUGUCAUCAUCAUUAGAUGUAGGAACAACUCCAGCUAUAGAAGGAAUAGUCUUAUCAGUUUCUGGAACGGAGCCAACAAUGUCCUUCAAUUCAAUCUUUUGCCUUUUCAGCCACUCCCCAUAGGGCCUUGCUAGGGAGUACUGCUGCUUUAAGGCUUCAUCAUCUACAACCAUAUGCUUCUCAAAAUCAACCAGAAGCAUCAUUCCAGGGUUAAGUCUUCCUUUCCUAAGGACAUCUUCAGGCGGAAUGUCUACAACACCAACUUCACUAGCCAUAAUGACCCGUCCACUCUGUGUAACAUAAAACCUACCUGGCCGCAGUCCAUUACGAUCCAGUGUAGCUCCAAGGUACCGGCCAUCCGUAAAUGAAAUAAGUGCAGGCCCAUCCCAAGGCUCCAUGAGGGCUGAGAAGUAUUCAUAUAAGGCUUUCCGAUGAGGAUCCAUAUUCUUAUCAUU
This 536-nucleotide unclassified non-coding RNA is filed under the name Hevea brasiliensis (rubber tree). Lineage: Eukaryota; Viridiplantae; Streptophyta; Magnoliopsida; Malpighiales; Euphorbiaceae. The record is from RNAcentral.